GUGGGGAAUUUUGGACAAUGGGGGCAACCCUGAUCCAGCAAUGCCGCGUGCAGGAAGAAGGCCUUCGGGUUGUAAACUGCUUUUGUACGGAACGAAAAGGCUCUGGUUAAUACCUGGGGCACAUGACGGUACCGUAAGAAUAAGCACCGGCUAACUACGUGCCAGCAGCCGCGGUAAUACGUAGGGUGCAAGCGUUAAUCGGAAUUACUGGGCGUAAAGCGUGCGCAGGCGGUGCUGUAAGACAGGCGUGAAAUCCCCGGGCUUAACCUGGGAAUGGCGCUUGUGACUGCAGUGCUGGAGUGUGGCAGAGGGGGAUGGAAUUCCGCGUGUAGCAGUGAAAUGCGUAGAUAUGCGGAGGAACACCGAUGGCGAAGGCAAUCCCCUGGGCCUGCACUGACGCUCAUGCACGAAAGCGUGGGGAGCAAACAGGAUUAGAUACCCGUGUAGUCC
This 450-nucleotide ribosomal RNA is filed under the name uncultured bacterium. RNAcentral describes it as "partial 16S ribosomal RNA". It matches the Rfam family "Bacterial small subunit ribosomal RNA", at positions 354 to 796 of the family's 1533-position model. The record is from RNAcentral.